GAUGAAGAACGUAGCGAAAUGCGAUAAGUAAUGUGAAUUGCAGAAUUCAGUGAAUCAUUGAAUCUUUGAACGCACAUUGCGCCCGCCAGUAUUCUGGCGGGCAUGCCUGUUCGAGCGUCAUUUCAACCAUCAAGCCCCAGGCUUGUGUUGGGGACCUGCGGCUGCCGCAGGCCCUGAAAACCAGUGGCGGGCUCGCUGUCACACCGGGCGUAGUAGAUUUUAUCUCGCUCUGGGCGUGCUGCGGGUUCCGGCCGUUAAAAAACCCUUUUAACCCAAGGUUGACCUCGGAUCAGGUAGGAAUACCCGCUGAACUUAAGCAUAUCAAUAAGCGGAGGA
Molecule: unclassified non-coding RNA, 336 nt
Filed under: soil metagenome
Description: partial contains 5.8S ribosomal RNA, internal transcribed spacer 2, and large subunit ribosomal RNA
Rfam family: 5.8S ribosomal RNA (bases 1-120)
Source: RNAcentral